AACGUUCAUCCCUUGACGGUAUCUAACCAGAAAGCCACGGCUAACUACGUGCCAGCAGCCGCGGUAAUACGUAGGUGGCAAGCGUUGUCCGGAUUUAUUGGGCGUAAAGCGAGCGCAGGCGGUUUCUUAAGUCUGAUGUGAAAGCCCCCGGCUCAACCGGGGAGGGUCAUUGGAAACUGGGAGACUUGAGUGCAGAAGAGGAGAGUGGAAUUCCAUGUGUAGCGGUGAAAUGCGUAGAUAUAUGGAGGAACACCAGUGGCGAAGGCGGCUCUCUGGUCUGUAACUGACGCUGAGGCUCGAAAGCGUGGGGAGCGAACAGGAUUAGAUACCCUGGUAGUCCACGCCGUAAACGAUGAGUGCUAAGUGUUGGAGGGUUUCCGCCCUUCAGUGCUGCAGCAAACGCAUUAAGCACUCCGCCUGGGGAGUACGACCGCAAGGUUGAAACUCAAAGGAAUUGACGGGGGCCCGCACAAGCGGUGGAGCAUGUGGUUUAAUUCGAAGCAACGCGAAGAACCUUACCAGGUCUUGACAUCCUUUGACCACUCUAGAGAUAGAGCUUCCCCUUCGGGGGCAAAGUGACAGGUGGUGCAUGGUUGUCGUCAGCUCGUGUCGUGAGAUGUUGGGUUAAGUCCCGCAACGAGCGCAACCCUUAUUGUUAGUUGCCAUCAUUUAGUUGGGCACUCUAGCGAGACUGCCGGUGACAAACCGGAGGAAGGUGGGGAUGACGUCAAAUCAUCAUGCCCCUUAUGACCUGGGCUACACACGUGCUACAAUGGGAAGUACAACGAGUUGCGAAGUCGCGAGGCUAAGCUAAUCUCUUAAAGCUUCUCUCAGUUCGGAUUGUAGGCUGCAACUCGCCUACAUGAAGCCGGAAUCGCUAGUAAUCGCGGAUCAGCACGCCGCGGUGAAUACGUUCCCGGGCCUUGUACACACCGCCCGUCACACCACGAGAGUUUGUAACACCCGAAGUCGGUGAGGUAACCUUUUUGGAGCCAGCCGCCUAAGGUGGGAUAGAUGAUUGGGGUGAAGUCGUAACAAGGUAGCCGUAUCGGAAGGUGCGGCUGGAUCACCUCCUUUCUAAGGAA
Molecule: ribosomal RNA, 1085 nt
Filed under: Enterococcus gallinarum
Lineage: Bacteria; Bacillati; Bacillota; Bacilli; Lactobacillales; Enterococcaceae
Also listed under: 2 other names
Description: partial 16S ribosomal RNA
Rfam family: Bacterial small subunit ribosomal RNA
Source: RNAcentral